AGAGUUGAUCAUGGCUCGAGGACGAACGCUGGCGGCGUGCCUAACACAUGCAAGUCGAGCGGGGACAUUGCGACGGAGGCGAAGUACUCGUACGGAGUCAAAGAUGUAAUGUUCUAGCGGCGGACGGGUGAGUAACGCGUGAGCAACCUGUCCCUUACAGGGGGAUAACACAGCGAAAGUUGUACUAAUACCGCAUAAGACCACAGGAUGACAUCGUCCAGGGGUCAAAGGAGCAAUCCGGUAAGGGGUGGGCUCGCGUCCGAUUAGAUAGUUGGUGAGGUAACGGCCCACCAAGUCGACGAUCGGUAGCCGACCUGAGAGGGUGAUCGGCCACAUUGGGACUGAGACACGGCCCAAACUCCUACGGGAGGCAGCAGUGGGGAAUAUUGGGCAAUGGGGGAAACCCUGACCCAGCAACGCCGCGUGAGGGAAGAAGGUUUUCGGAUCGUAAACCUCUGUCCCAGGUGAAGAGGAAGAGACGGUAGCCUGGGAGGAAGCCCUGGCUAACUACGUGCCAGCCGCUGC
RNAcentral lists this ribosomal RNA (525 nucleotides) under uncultured bacterium. Its description in RNAcentral is "bacterial SSU rRNA". It matches the Rfam family "Bacterial small subunit ribosomal RNA", at positions 8 to 518 of the family's 1533-position model. The record is from RNAcentral.